Molecule: ribosomal RNA, 497 nt
Filed under: uncultured bacterium
Lineage: Bacteria
Description: partial 16S ribosomal RNA
Rfam family: Bacterial small subunit ribosomal RNA
Source: RNAcentral
GAUGAACGCUGGCGGCGUGCCUAAUACAUGCAAGUCGAGCGAACAGAUGAGGAGCUUGCUCCUCUGACGUUAGCGGCGGACGGGUGAGUAACACGUGGAUAACCUACCUAUAAGACUGGGAUAACUUCGGGAAACCGGAGCUAAUACCGGAUAAUAUAUUGAACCGCAUGGUUCAAUAGUGAAAGACGGUUUUGCUGUCACUUAUAGAUGGAUCCGCGCCGCAUUAGCUAGUUGGUAAGGUAACGGCUUACCAAGGCAACGAUGCGUAGCCGACCUGAGAGGGUGAUCGGCCACACUGGAACUGAGACACGGUCCAGACUCCUACGGGAGGCAGCAGUAGGGAAUCUUCCGCAAUGCGCGAAAGCCUGACGGAGCAACGCCGCGUGAGUGAUGAAGGUCUUCGGAUCGUAAAACUCUGUUAUUAGGGAAGAACAAAUGUGUAAGUAACUAUGCACGUCUUGACGGUACCUAAUCAGAAAGCCACGGCUAACUACGUG